This 468-nucleotide ribosomal RNA is filed under the name uncultured bacterium. RNAcentral's name for it is "partial 16S ribosomal RNA". It matches the Rfam family "Bacterial small subunit ribosomal RNA", at positions 28 to 507 of the family's 1533-position model. The record is from RNAcentral.
GACGAACGCUGGCGGCGUGCUUAACACAUGCAAGUCGAACGGUGAUGCUCCAGCUUGCUGGAGUGGAUCAGUGGCGAACGGGUGAGUAACACGUGAGCAACCUGCCCCAGACUCUGGAAUAAGCGCUGGAAACGGCGUCUAAUACUGGAUACGAAACUGGCCCGCAUGGGCAUGGUUUGGAAAGUUUUUCGGUUUGGGAUGGGCUCGCGGCCUAUCAGCUUGUUGGUGAGGUAAUGGCUCACCAAGGCGACGACGGGUAGCCGGCCUGAGAGGGCGACCGGCCACACUGGGACUGAGACACGGCCCAGACUCCUACGGGAGGCAGCAGUGGGGAAUAUUGCGCAAUGGGCGAAAGCCUGAUGCAGCGACGCCGCGUGAGGGAUGACGGCCUUCGGGUUGUAAACCUCUUUCAGCAGGGAAGAAGCGAAAGUGACGGUACCUGCAGAAGAAGCACCGGCUAACUACGUG